UGGGAAAUCGUCUAAAGGCAAGAUAAUGGACUCUGAUUCCGUAGAUCCAGGUUCGAAUCCUGGUUUCCCAG
This 71-nucleotide transfer RNA is filed under the name Deltaproteobacteria bacterium. RNAcentral's name for it is "tRNA-Gln". It matches the Rfam family "tRNA". Rfam says of the family: Transfer RNA (tRNA) molecules are approximately 80 nucleotides in length. Their secondary structure includes four short double-helical elements and three loops (D, anti-codon, and T loops). Further hydrogen bonds mediate the characteristic L-shaped molecular structure. tRNAs have two regions of fundamental functional importance: the anti-codon, which is responsible for specific mRNA codon recognition, and the 3' end, to which the tRNAs corresponding amino acid is attached (by aminoacyl-tRNA synthetases). tRNAs cope with the degeneracy of the genetic code in two manners: having more than one tRNA (with a specific anti-codon) for a particular amino acid; and 'wobble' base-pairing, i.e. permitting non-standard base-pairing at the 3rd anti-codon position. The record is from RNAcentral. Lineage: Bacteria; Pseudomonadati; Myxococcota; Myxococcia.